Molecule: ribosomal RNA, 512 nt
Filed under: uncultured bacterium
Lineage: Bacteria
Description: partial 16S ribosomal RNA
Rfam family: Bacterial small subunit ribosomal RNA
Source: RNAcentral
ACUCAAAUGAAUUGACGGGGGCCCGCACAAGCGGCGGAGCAUGUGGAUUAAUUCGAUGCAACGCGAAGAACCUUACCUGGGUUUGACAUGCGCCAGACGCUGGUAGAGAUAUCAGUUCCCUUGUGGUUGGUGUGCAGGUGGUGCAUGGCUGUCGUCAGCUCGUGUCGUGAGAUGUUGGGUUAAGUCCCGCAACGAGCGCAACCCUUGUUCCAUGUUGCCAGCGGCCAGUGACUCUGUUGCUGGGCCGGGGACUCAUGGGAGACUGCCGGGGUCAACUCGGAGGAAGGUGGGGAUGACGUCAAGUCAUCAUGCCCCUUAUGUCCAGGGCUUCACACAUGCUACAAUGGCCUAUACAGAGGGCUGCGAGACCGUGAGGUGGAGCGAAUCCCUUAAAGUGGGUCUCAGUUCGGAUCGGGGUCUGCAACUCGACCCCGUGAAGUUGGAGUCGCUAGUAAUCGCAGAUCAGCAAUGCUGCGGUGAAUACGUUCCCGGGCCUUGUACACACCGCCCGU